Small nucleolar RNA from Chelonoidis abingdonii (Abingdon island giant tortoise), 137 nucleotides. Lineage: Eukaryota; Metazoa; Chordata; Testudines; Testudinidae. The record is from Ensembl.
ACCCAGAGUGUUGAGUUCAGUUCAGGGCUGCUGUCCCUGUUCUGGUAAUUAAACUUUGGGACAGUGAGUGGCUGGGAGUCAUGUCAAGAUGAUGGGAAGCUUUGCUUUCUGCCACUUCCGUCACUCAGCCCACAAAA